RNAcentral lists this ribosomal RNA (447 nucleotides) under uncultured bacterium. RNAcentral describes it as "bacterial SSU rRNA". It matches the Rfam family "Bacterial small subunit ribosomal RNA", at positions 355 to 825 of the family's 1533-position model. The record is from RNAcentral.
UCGGGAAUUUUGGGCAAUGGGCGAAAGCCUGGCCCAGCAACGCCGCGUGAAGGAUGAAGUAUUUCGGUAUGUAAACUUCGUAAGAAUAGGAAGAAUAAAUGACGGUACUAUUUGUAAGGUCCGGCUAACUACGUGCCAGCAGCCGCGGUAAUACGUAGGGACCAAGCGUUGUUCGGAUUUACUGGGCGUAAAGGGCGCGUAGGCGGCGUGGUAAGUCAUCUGUGAAAUCUCCGAGCUUAACUCGGAACGGUCAGAUGAUACUGCUGUGCUAGAGUACAGAAAGGGCAAUCGGAAUUCUUGGUGUAGCGGUGAAAUGCGUAGAUAUCAAGAGGAACACCUGAGGCGAAGGCGGGUUGCUAGGCUGAUACUGACGCUGAGGCGCGAAAGCUAGGGUAGCAAACGGGAUUAGAUACCCCCGUAGUCCCUGAGCGGGCUGGCAAGGCGCAU